UCCCUGGUGGUCCAGUGGUUAGGACUCUGCACUUCCACUGCAGGGGACAUGGGUUCGAUUCCUGAUCCAGGAA
Molecule: transfer RNA, 73 nt
Filed under: Bos indicus (zebu cattle)
Lineage: Eukaryota; Metazoa; Chordata; Mammalia; Artiodactyla; Bovidae
Also listed under: 1 other name
Rfam family: tRNA
About the family: Transfer RNA (tRNA) molecules are approximately 80 nucleotides in length. Their secondary structure includes four short double-helical elements and three loops (D, anti-codon, and T loops).
Source: Rfam by way of RNAcentral